RNAcentral lists this long non-coding RNA (789 nucleotides) under Monodelphis domestica (gray short-tailed opossum). RNAcentral's name for it is "lncRNA (ENSMODG00000033101.2)". Lineage: Eukaryota; Metazoa; Chordata; Mammalia; Didelphimorphia; Didelphidae. The record is from RNAcentral.
AGGAUUCUUGGAUAAUAAGAGAUAAUACUUUUCAUAGUGUCUACUGUGUGACAGGCACUUUCCAAAUAUUAUCUUACUCAAUCUUCACAAUAACCAUUUUUGUUUUACAAAGCCUUAUUUACAUCUUAGAAUCAAUAUUUUGUAUUGGUUGCAAGGUAGAUGAGCAGUAAGGAUUAGGCAAUUGGGGUUAAGUGACUUGCCUAGGGUCACACAAAGUGUCUGGGCAAGCCUACAGACCAAUGAGGUAAUGAGGAAUCAGAUUCUGCCUCCUUCCUUCCUCUGUCUCCCUCCCACUUUCAGAUAAUCUCUUCAGUUGGUGUCAAGCUGGAAUUCAGUACUGAGAAUACAGUCACACCCUAUGCAGACCUCAGAGCCUUAGAAACAGAUAGAAGUCAAAGGCCAGAACAUGGAGGCAAAAGGUUGGUUAUCUGAGGGAAAGACUCAAAUGACUAUGGCUCCAAAUGUAGGACCAGAGCCAGGAUACCAGUCUACAAGAAAGAAAAAGAGAAAGUCCUGCAUCUUAGAUCCAGAGGCAUCUACUUCAAUCCCUGUAUUUUACAGGUCAGUAAACUGAGACCAAAGAGGGGAACUGUCUCAUCCAUGGUCACACACAUGGUGGAAGAACCAGUGACGGGAAUUUCUCUCAUUCUCACCAAUCUGGAAGAACUAGUUACUAAGAUGGAGAUGAUGAAUAUAAUCUCGACUUCCGGUCAAGAUGGUGGCAUAGAAGCAGCGAAAGUUCAGACCUCAGAAACCCUUCCUUACCGAUUGCAAACAGAGUGCUCCUAG